Molecule: long non-coding RNA, 1467 nt
Organism: Paramisgurnus dabryanus
Lineage: Eukaryota; Metazoa; Chordata; Actinopteri; Cypriniformes; Cobitidae
Source: RefSeq, a predicted model, not a curated record
CGCGCAUCACGCAAGCAUUUCGCAUUUAUUAAUAUGCAAAUGACCAAACAAUAAACUUUAUAGCUGCUGUGCCAAAAACAAACAUUAAGCAACAGUCGGUGAGUGUGACACAUUCAUAAACGCACGUGCUACCUAGAAUGCCAUUUUAGGGAGGGCCUGAGUCGCACGAGACGAGUCCGACGCGCGCGAGAGAUCUCUGCUCCCAGCUGCUGUCGCACAAGGCACGCGAGUGUGCACGAUCCAGGUAAACCCAAUAAAAAGGCGAAAGGCAGUGGUGACAGUCGGGACAGCGCAAAACUUACAAGGAUAUUGCCAUGAAUGAAAAUAUUGCGGCGCAUUCGUGAGGAAAGACAUCAAUUUCUCCUUAGAAGAAAGUUAUUUGCGGGGUUUAGUGAAGACUUCAUCUUAAUGUCAUGCCUUGUGACAGCAAUCGGAACUAGAAUUGGAAAAACUUUUCUUCAACUCUUUUAGUAACCAUGUUAAGAUGAUAUUUCACGGCUAUGGACAUAAAAUGCAGGAUUGUUACAUAUGAUACAGCGAUUUAAACGGUGGAAUCCAGCAGAGCCGACAGGCAAGGAAGCGAUACAGCAGCUCCAUGUCAGAGCUUCCCAUGGGAGGGAAGAGUGUCCAACUUUCACCAACAGCCAGCCACCAGAUUGAAAGCCGGCUCCGUGCCGCUGAAAUGUGAGUCUAGGAAGAGGACCCAAAAGGCAGCAAGAAAAAUGAGGGACUUUUAGGGGCAGCUGUGUUUUAUUAACCCAGUCAUAAUGCCCCUAAAAAUCCUUAUUGCUCUUGCAAUUUUCAGCAUCCCUACAUGGAAAGGCACAACUGAGCAGAGAUUAAUGGAGAGACAUGCUCUAAACUGAAAAGGACACGCAUAAUCUCAUCUAAAAAAAAUUGGGGGGGCUCUUUCGAAGCUAUGUUAAUAUAGUUUUUUGAUUUAGGUGUCAUCUUUGUUUCAAAUAAUAUUCCUAAAAUUUCUUAGGAGUAGAAACAAAUGAAAGAAGUGUUGGCAUACAGUACAGUAAGAGCAUAGAGCUCUAUAUUAUUUUAGAUAGCUUAGCCCAAAAUAAUUUUAUUUUAGAAAAGUUCAUAUUGACUUUUAAAUCUUGGCAAAUCUGAGCACAGUUUGAGACGGUGGUAAAAUCUCUGUUGAAACUCAAACUAGGACAAGAGAAAUAACUAAAAAAGCAGAAUACCUAAAAUAAAGAAAAAUAACUUUAAAAAUCAUCCAAUUUUUCUUUUUCAUUUCCUGUUAUUUUUUGCAUAUAGUGGUUGAAUUUAACCUUCGAAUCGUGUACUUGUUGCACAGCCAACUAUUUGUAAAAGAUGCUGUAUAAAUAAUGCAAAUUAUACUAUAUGUGAUUUAUGUAAAUGAUUCUGUAAUUAUACCUAUGGCUUUCAUUAAUGCAAUGCAAUGUAUGUUUUCUCAUUCAAACCAAUACAGAGACUAUAUUUGAGAAGUGA